AUUGAACGCUGGCGGCAGGCCUAACACAUGCGAGUCGAACGGUAACAGGAAACAGCUUGCUGUUUCGCUGACGAGUGGCGGACGGGUGAGUAAUGUCUGGGAAACUGCCUGAUGGAGGGGGAUAACUACUGGAAACGGUAGCUAAUACCGCAUAACGUCGCAAGACCAAAGAGGGGGACCUUCGGGCCUCUUGCCAUCGGAUGUGCCCAGAUGGGAUUAGCUAGUAGGUGGGGUAAUGGCUCACCUAGGCGACGAUCCCUAGCUGGUCUGAGAGGAUGACCAGCCACACUGGAACUGAGACACGGUCCAGACUCCUACGGGAGGCAGCAGUGGGGAAUAUUGCACAAUGGGCGCAAGCCUGAUGCAGCCAUGCCGCGUGUAUGAAGAAGGCCUUCGGGUUGUAAAGUACUUUCAGCGGGGAGGAAGGGAGUAAAGUUAGUACCUUUGCUCAUUGACGUUACCCGCAGAAGAAGCACCGGCUAACUCCGUG
This 490-nucleotide ribosomal RNA is filed under the name uncultured bacterium. RNAcentral describes it as "partial 16S ribosomal RNA". It matches the Rfam family "Bacterial small subunit ribosomal RNA", at positions 30 to 507 of the family's 1533-position model. The record is from RNAcentral.